AUGGUAUUUGGCAAUACUGGCUCUUGGGCUGCCCAAUUGAUCACUGAAGCUGGUGGCAAGGUGGUCUCCAUCAGAGAUGUCACAGGGACUGUCAAGAACUCCAAUGGCAUUGACAUAGCCAAGCUGAUGAAGCACUUGGCAGAGAACCGCGGGAUCAAGGGCUUUGACGGAGGCGACGCCGUCGACCCGACCUCGCUGCUCACGGAAGAGUGCGACGUGCUCAUCCCUGCAGCUCUGGGAGGAGUCAUAAACAAGGACAAUGCUGAUGCCAUCAAAGCAAAGUACAUCAUCGAGGCUGUUAACCACCCAACAGACCCCGAGGCCAACAAGGCAAGAACACCAACAUUUUGCCACAAAACUAAGCUGCAUUUGUUGACACAUUCACGCAUUGACUGCCAGCAGAGAAAUGUUCAUGUUCGUGGUGCAGAUUCUGGCAAAGAAGGGCGUGCUGAUCCUAUCGGACAUCAUGGCCAACUCCGGGGGAGUGAUGGUGAGCUGCUUCGAGUGGGCCGUUGGGCGUCCAAGAGGCACUUGACCUUUUCGGAUCACGCUGCCAUUGGCGUAAUCCAGGCCGGAUCUAUGGAGAGCCCGGCGCAACACCGUCACAGAUUGAUAAGGGCCGGAGCUUCAAUGACAAAUCUACUAUAUUCAGCACACAACCCAACUCAGCAGGCACGAGCCAUGUCGACAAUCGGGGUGGCACUCGGGUGCAUGCUCGCCUCGACAGUCAUCAAGGUCGCAAUAGAGUCGGUGGAGGCUGUGCUCGGCAACGCUGAGAGAGAGUCUAUCGAGCAUAAGUCCAUGCUGUUGUGGCUGAACCGACUUAUGGAUGCCGACAUGCUUGAAGAUUUUGAAGAUGAAACCGACCUCAACCUGUGGGCAGCCACGAUGAAGAAGAUUAAGAUGCCACAUAACAUGAGAUCGAUGCAAAAGCGCAUAUAA
Molecule: ribosomal RNA, 942 nt
Filed under: Triticum aestivum (bread wheat)
Lineage: Eukaryota; Viridiplantae; Streptophyta; Magnoliopsida; Poales; Poaceae
Description: partial small subunit ribosomal RNA
Source: RNAcentral